This 232-nucleotide unclassified non-coding RNA is filed under the name Hevea brasiliensis (rubber tree). The record is from RNAcentral. Lineage: Eukaryota; Viridiplantae; Streptophyta; Magnoliopsida; Malpighiales; Euphorbiaceae.
GCCAAACUAAUCUCCAUCCACUUAAUUGAGAAUGCUGUCCUGAACUUUGACAAUCAAGGUUCCAGUAAUUAUGUUGUUUCAAUUUUCCAUGACUUUUCUAUUUUCUAACAAUUAUUAGUACCAUAUCAGGGAUUAGAAGUGAAAUGAAGAUAUACUGCAUUCACAUUUCACUCGUGACAAUCCUCUAGGUGUCUUUAUCUGUUUGAUUGACAAUUUAGCCAGAAAAUGAUAG